AAGAAAGUAGUGCAGCAGAACUAUAUGUAUACUUUCAAACGUGGAUGACUUGAAGAAAAAGCUGAUGUUCAAAAAAACUUGAAAUGAUGAUAUUCAAUGUUAGCUUACAUCAAUGGAACAUAAUCUUAAACGUGUACGGAAAAAAAACAUCAGUAUUAUUACGCAUUAGGCCAAAGAAAAGUUUGUGUCCAUGUACCUAUGUACAAUAAAUUGAAUAUAAAUAGGGUGUAAUUUUGUAGCAGAGAUGCUGAAAAGUUCACAUAUAUAAGUCAACCGAAGGGAAAUGAAAGUAUUUAUUGUAUAUAUUUAGCAAUUUAUUGAAUAGCAUUUUAUGCCACCGCUGAUUUUUUUUACGUCGAUAACUCAAGAGGAAACAAUGAAUACAAUAUGUGGCCUUAAAAAGGCGUUCUGUACUGUACUAUUUUCGCAAAAAAUGGUUCGCAAACUAUCAUAGAAUCAAAGCGUUUGAAACAAAAAUAUUAUUAUAUAAAUAAUAAAAAACAAGAUUACAAUACAAGUCUUUCAAAAGUAUUCUGGAAUUAACUGAUGCAAUUUGAUAAAACUUGGUGUUGACUAAUAAGUAGGGCAGACCCGCCAUUGUUGGGACCAUCGACAGAAUAACGUUCGUGUUUUUGAGAUUUCUCCAUCCAAGACAUAGAUUUGCUGAUGAAUAACAUCGCAAAGAUCUUGGUGUAUUGUCUUCAUACUUGGCCACAACAACCCUUCAAAUAGACCAGACUAAACUAAAUUAACUUGACCACCAUAUUAACAUUCAAGAAGUUCGGCCUACAAUCAUGUCAGAUUUAUGAAUGUGAACAGCAGGAUAUCGAUUUUAAGGAUGCUUUAGGGUCAAUGACAAUGAAAUCACGAGAGAUAAAGGCUAAAAUGUGAGACUGUCAAUCUGACUAACCUUGAAGUGAACAAAUGGAAAAAGUGUUUCUUUCAAUAGCAUGGGCUUUUAAGGAAGAGGAAACAGAGGCGCUUAUAUGAUAGAACAGUAAAAGCAGGAGUGAUAAUGAAAGAUACAUGUAGAUGUGUCUUCAUGUCGGAAACACUAAAGAAAUAGAAAUAUUGUGGUUUUAUAAAACUUAAAAGAAAUUGGAAUACCUGAGAGACUGCCUGCCCUUUGCAAUGUUGGAUAAAGAGUUCUUAGAUGUGAUGUCGAAAGCCUCAUGAAGCCCAUGACUUAAUCUAAUUAGAAAAAAAUAUGACAUUGAAGAGAAAACUAGUCACCAGUCUUUCACCAAGAACUAUAGAUAACUUUCCAAUAUUUGAAAUAUCAUAAUAUGAGCCGCGUCAUGACAAAACCAACAUAGUAGGUUUGCGACCAGCAUGGAUCCGAACCAGCCUGCGCCUCCGCGUAGUCUGAUCAGGAUCCAUGCUGUUUGCCAUCAGUUUUUCUACUUGUAAUAGAGUUUGUAAGCGAACAGCAUGGAUCCUGAUCAGACUGCGUGGAUGCGCAGGCUGGUCUAGAUCAAUGCUGGUCGCAAACCCAUUAUGUUGGUUUUGUCAUGGCGCGGCUCAUAUGUAUAGAACUUUAUUGAGCCACCAGUUUUCCACCAGGAAAAUAAGAUCACUUAACUAUUUUUAGCUCACCUGUCACAAAGUGACAGGGUGAGCUUUUUUGAUCGCUUUUCGUCUGGCGUCCGUCCGUAAACUUUUACUUUAAAUGACAUCUCCUCAUAAACCACUAAGCCAAUUUCAUCCAAACUUCACAGGAAUGUUUCUUUGGUGGUCACCUCUAAAUAUUGUUCAUAGAACGCUGGUUGCCAUGGCAACCAAAAGAAAAAAACUUAAAGUAUCUUCUUUUAAAGAACCCAAAGAGCUAGAGCUUAGACAAAGUAUCUUCUUUUAAAGGUAUGAAAUAUCUUCUAGUGAGUGUCUACCAAGUUUGUUCAAAUAAAAGCCCUGGGGGUCAAAACUGGCCCCUCCCCAGGGGUCAUUGAAUUUCCCUAUAUGCAUAUAGUAAAAACUUAAAAAUCUUCUUUGAAAAAACCAAAAUAGCUAGAGUUUAGAUAUUAAGCAUGAAACAUCUUCUGGUAAGUGUGUACAAGGUUUGUUCAAAUAAAAGCCCUGGGGUCAAAACUGGCCCCGCCCCAGGGGUUUCAUUGUUUUUAACUAUUUGUGUAAAGUAAAAACUUAAAAAAUCUUCUUUUAAAAAACCCAAUGAACUAGAGCUUAGAUGUUUAGCAUGAAACAUCUUAUGGUGUCGACCAAGUUUGUUCAAAUUUAAGCCCUUGUAUAAAAAUUGGCCAUGCCGGGGUGGGGGGUGGUGCAGAGGUCUUUGUUUUACAUUAUAUGUGUGUAGUAAAAACUUAACAUCAUGAAACAUCUUCUAACGGGUGUCUUACAAGUUUGGUCAAAUAAAAGCCCUGGGGUUUAAACUGGCCCCGCUCCAGGGGCCUAUAUAUACAUGGCCCUCUUGUUGAAAUAUGUAUGAACAAAUCUUUAUCAACUUCAAGCUUUUAUUGAAGGAAUUUGAAAUAACUUGGCACAAAUGAUUGUUAUAAUAAGACAAUGAGUCAUGUCAACAACCAGACCCCUACCUCCAGGGUCAAGGUCGCACUUGCUCAUUCAAGGUCAACAUUGUCUUUUUGAAAGUAUAUCUCGUGUCCGGUCUAUAACUUUCCUAUCUCUAAAGGGAUUUUGUAAAUACUUGCCACAAUUGCUCACAAUAAUGAGAAGAUGUGUCAUGCUCAACAACAGGUCACCUGCCUCCAAGGUCAAGGUCACACUUGGAGGUCAAAUAUUAGCACAGCCUGUUACAGGGUAUAUUUCGUGUCCGGUCCAUAACUUUGUCAUUUAUUGAAGGAAUUUGAAAUAACUUGGCACAAAUGUUUGUUAUAAUAAGACGAUGAUGUGCAACAACCAGACCCCUACCUUCAGGGUCAAGGUCACACUUGCUCAUUCAAGGUCAACAUUGUCCAUUUGAGGGUAUAUCUCGUGUCCAGUCUAUACCUUUCUUAUCUUUGAAGGGAUUUUGUAAAUACUUGCCACAAUUGUUCACAACAAUGAGAUGAUGUGUCAUGCGCAACAAUCGGUCACCAACCUACAAGGUCAAGGUCACACUUGGAGGUCUAAGAUUAACAUAGCCUGUUAUAGGGUAUUUUUUUGUCCGGUCCAUAACUUUUUUGUAUAUCAAAGGAUUUUGAAAAAACUUGGCACAAAUAUUCACUAUAAUAAGACAAUGUGUCAUGCGCAUCACCUGCAUCCCUACCUCCAAGGUCAGGGUCACAUUUCGAGGUAAAAUAUUAACAUUGUUUUUUUAAAGGGUAUAUAUUGUGUCCAAUGUAGAACUUCUUCAUAGUUCAAGGGAUUUUGAAAUAACUUGGCACAAAUAGUCACAAUAAUAAGACGAUAUGUCAGUUACAACACCUGCACCCCUGCCUCCAAGGUCAAGGUCACACUUAGAGGUAUAAAGGUAACAAAGUCUGUUAUAUGGUAUAUUUUAUGCCCCGUCCAUAACUUCUUCAUAGAUGAAGGGAUUUGGAAAAUACUUGGCACAAGUAGUCACAAUGAUAAGAUGAUAUGUCAUGCACAACACCUGCACCCCUACCUCCAAGGUCAAGGUCACACUAAGAGGUCAAAGCAGGGAUUUUUUCCAGGAUUUGGGAACAUAACCCAUACCCAUGCAACUGGGAAUUUCAGCGAUAUUUUGUUAAAAUUGGGAAAAAAUGCAUAACUGAAAGUUUGCUGUGAUUAAAUGUAUGCAAGCAAUCACUGCCUAGGAUGGCUUCUUCAAACAUUUAAACACUAUUACAGUAAAGAAGCCCUUAUUUUCAAAGAUUUUAGAAUUCUUUAUUCAAUAUUUAUAUUUUUGUAACGUUCAAUUGGGAAUAUUUUCCUUUGGAUUGGGAAAUAAUAUACUAUUUUCAAUUGGGAAUAUGUCCCAAUAACGGCUAUAAAAUAAGCCAAAAAUAAUCCCUGCAAAGCUUAACAUGAUAUAUUUUGAAAUUCAGUAUUUCAUUUUAUUUCUUUAAUAAAUUUAUUGUUGCAUUUGCAGAUCUAGCAUUGAUCAUAAUUUUGGACUGAAAAUCCUUAGAUCCCUGCCUCAAUCUUUUGAAAUAGCACAAUUUUUUGCUUCAUAUAAAACUUCCCUGAGGCGGGGGACCUUGGUAUCUCUGUUACAAAUUCUUGUUUAUUUUACCAACAAGUGUUCACUUUCAAACUUUUGAUCAUUGUAUUUUUUGUACUACCUUUUGUAUAAUGUUGUAUUUUAUUUGUGUUCUUAUUUUAAGAUUAGCAUGGCCAACUCAUGAAAGUCCAAAUGAUGGUCAACUUUUUUUAUGUUUUUUUUUGUUGUUGUUUUUUUUCUAACAUUAUUUACUUUAUUUUUACAGUGUUCCUCUGAAUCAUACAUUCUGUUUUAGUUAAACAUGCACUUCUUGUUACUUAUUUUCCCAUACUUCAUAUUACAUUGAUCACGUUUUGAUGUGAUGGCUCAUAAAAUUAUAAAAAUAUCAUUUUUAGCUCGACUUUUCUAUGAAAAGGGGAGCUAUCCUACUCGCCCCGGCGUCGGCGUCGGCGUUGGCGUCACACCUUGGUUAAGUUUUUCGUACCACCCCACUUUAUUUCAGAAGUAUUACAAGUAUGGCUUUGAAACUUACCAUACUUGUUCACCAUCAUAACCUCCAUCUACAGACAAGAGUACAUAACUCUGUCAAGGUUUUUGACAGAAUUAUGGCCCUUUUUUGACUUAGAAAGUGUAUUGAGCUUGGUUAAGUUUUUUGUACCACCUCACUUUAUUUCAAAACCAUUGGAGGUAUUGCUUUGAAACUGACCAUACUUGUUUACCAUCACGACCUUCAUCAACAGACAAGAGGACAUAACUCUGUCAAGGUUUUUGACAGAAUUAUGCCCCUUUUUGACUUAGAAAAUACAUUGAAUAUGGGUAAAAUCCACUUAUUGCCUUAACCCUUUGAGAUAUUGCUUUGAAACUUUUAAUGCUAUUUCACAUCAUUACCCCCAUCUGUACGCAAGAGAAGGUAACUCUGUCAAGGAUUUGUUUUAAAAAUUAAGGCCUUUUAUCGACUUAGAAUCUUGGUUAAGUUUUUUAGUACCAGUCCACUUUUUGACUGAACUGUUUGAGAUAUUAAUUUGAAAGUUGGAAUACUUGUUUACAAUCAUGAUUCCCAAACAUGUCCAGGAGAAGGUAAUUCUGUCAAAGAUUUUAUUUGAAUUAUGGCCCUUAACUGUCAAUGUUUUGUAUUAUAGGCAAGCACUAAAAAACUUAAAAAAUCUAAAAAAAUUCAUUCCUAUCCACUUGUUCACUUUACCAUAAAUUAUGUCAUAAUAAAAUAAUUCUUCACUAAAUAUCUUAAUGCUCAUGGCCAUUGUUCACUUUAAAAAUACAGAGAUUCUUGUAUUGCCUUUUACUGCAAAAACUUUUUUUAUUGGCAAGCAAUAAAAAAGUCAAGCGCGCUGUCUUACGGACAGCUCUUGUUUUG
This is a long non-coding RNA of Ruditapes philippinarum (Manila clam), 5447 nucleotides long. RefSeq lists it as uncharacterized. The transcript has 4 exons. The record is from RefSeq and is a predicted model, not a curated record. Lineage: Eukaryota; Metazoa; Mollusca; Bivalvia; Venerida; Veneridae.